Non-coding RNA from Salmo salar (Atlantic salmon), 54 nucleotides. NCBI's taxonomy places the organism in Eukaryota, Metazoa, Chordata, Actinopteri, Salmoniformes, Salmonidae. The record is from Rfam.
GAAAACAACUACUGUAAUUCGCUCUGGAUAAGAGCGUCUGCUAAAUGACUAAAA